This 800-nucleotide ribosomal RNA is filed under the name Scarabaeus sp. sp81. Its description in RNAcentral is "SSU rRNA". It matches the Rfam family "Eukaryotic small subunit ribosomal RNA", at positions 470 to 1229 of the family's 1831-position model. Lineage: Eukaryota; Metazoa; Arthropoda; Insecta; Coleoptera; Scarabaeidae. The record is from RNAcentral.
ACGAAAAAUAACGAUACGGGACUCAUCCGAGGCCCCGUAAUCGGAAUGAGUACACUCUAAACCCUUUAACGAGGAUCAAUUGGAGGGCAAGUCUGGUGCCAGCAGCCGCGGUAAUUCCAGCUCCAAUAGCGUAUAUUAAAGUUGUUGCGGUUAAAAAGCUCGUAGUCGAAUUUGUGUCCCGCGCCGCCGGUUCAUCGCUCGCGGUGUCAACUGGCGUGUCCGCGGGACGUCCUGCCGGUGGGCUUAGCCCCUGCGGGCGGCCCAAUCUCAAUCCCACCGCGGUGCUCUUCACUGAGUGUCGAGGUGGGCCGGCACGUUUACUUUGAACAAAUUAGAGUGCUUAAAGCAGGCUAAAACAUCGCCUGAAUACUGUGUGCAUGGAAUAAUGGAAUAGGACCUCGGUUCUAUUUUGUUGGUUUUCGGAACCCCGAGGUAAUGAUUAAUAGGAACGGAUGGGGGCAUUCGUAUUGCGACGUUAGAGGUGAAAUUCUUGGAUCGUCGCAAGACGGACAGAAGCGAAAGCAUUUGCCAAAAACGCUUUCAUUGAUCAAGAACGAAAGUUAGAGGUUCGAAGGCGAUCAGAUACCGCCCUAGUUCUAACCAUAAACGAUGCCAGCUAGCGAUCCGCCGACGUUCCUCCGAUGACUCGGCGGGCAGCUUCCGGGAAACCAAAGCUUUUGGGUUCCGGGGGAAGUAUGGUUGCAAAGCUGAAACUUAAAGGAAUUGACGGAAGGGCACCACCAGGAGUGGAGCCUGCGGCUUAAUUUGACUCAACACGGGAAACCUCACCAGGCCCGGAC